AUAGGUAAUUGCUGGUAAAUGAUAAGCCAUGGCCUUUCACGCCGGCGACCGGGGUUCGACUCCCCGUGGGGACGCCA
RNAcentral lists this transfer RNA (77 nucleotides) under Syntrophaceae bacterium. Its description in RNAcentral is "tRNA-Glu". Lineage: Bacteria; Pseudomonadati; Thermodesulfobacteriota; Syntrophia; Syntrophales; Syntrophaceae. The record is from RNAcentral.